CUCCGCUUGGUGUAGUUGGUUGUUAGUUCUCCCAUUCAAAGUGCUCAAGGCAGUCAUACUAAUGUUACUAGUAUCACGUUCGACUGUAAUAUCACUUUGUAAUCGAAAGGUCCCUAGUUCGAUUCUGGGAGCGGAGA
RNAcentral lists this transfer RNA (137 nucleotides) under Paraphoma chrysanthemicola. RNAcentral's name for it is "tRNA-Leu". The record is from RNAcentral. Lineage: Eukaryota; Fungi; Ascomycota; Dothideomycetes; Pleosporales; Phaeosphaeriaceae.